This 469-nucleotide ribosomal RNA is filed under the name uncultured bacterium. RNAcentral's name for it is "partial 16S ribosomal RNA". It matches the Rfam family "Bacterial small subunit ribosomal RNA", at positions 28 to 507 of the family's 1533-position model. The record is from RNAcentral.
GACGAACGCUGGCGGCGUGCUUAACACAUACAAGUCGAACGGAAAGGCCCUGCUUGCCGGGUGCUCGAGUGGCGAACGGGUGAGUAACACGUGGGUGAUCUGCCCCUUACUUUGGGAUAAGCCUGGGAAACUGGGUCUAAUACUGGAUAGGACCAUGCUGUAGGCGGUGUGGUGGAAAGAUUAGUUUCGGUAAGGGAUGAGCUCGCGGCCUAUCAGCUUGUUGGUGGGGUAAUGGCCUACCAAGGCGUCGACGGGUAGCCGGCCUGAGAGGGUGGACGGCCACAUUGGGACUGAGAUACGGCCCAGACUCCUACGGGAGGCAGCAGUGGGGAAUAUUGCACAAUGGGCGCAAGCCUGAUGCAGCGACGCCGCGUGGGGGAUGACGGCCUUCGGGUUGUAAACUCCUUUCAGCCAUGACGAAGCCCUUGUGGUGACGGUAGUGGUAGAAGAAGCACCGGCUAACUACGUG